RNAcentral lists this unclassified non-coding RNA (225 nucleotides) under plant metagenome. RNAcentral describes it as "partial contains small subunit ribosomal RNA, internal transcribed spacer 1, and 5.8S ribosomal RNA". The record is from RNAcentral.
UCUCCGUUGGUGAACCAGCGGAGGGAUCAUUACAGGACUCGCAAGACUCCUACAACCCUGUGAACUUAACUAUAAGCACGUUGCUUCGGCGGGUGUCUCGGAGGGGGUUCUCCCUCCCCGAGACGCUAAACCCGCCGGCAGCCUACUAUACUCUGUCUCUUUGCGUUGGCAUCUCGAGUACAAUCAAACAAGUUAUAACUUUCAACAACGGAUCUCUUGGUUCUG